ACCUCAGUAACGGCGAGUGAAGCGGUAACAGCUCAAAUUUGAAAUCUGGCCUCACGGUCCGAGUUGUAAUUUGUAGAGGAUGCUUCGAGCAUGGUCUGGCCUAAGUUCCUUGGAACAGGACGUCAUAGAGGGUGAGAAUCCCGUAUGCGGCCAGGUGCCUACGCUCAUGUGAAGCUCCUUCGACGAGUCGAGUUGUUUGGGAAUGCAGCUCAAAAUGGGUGGUAAAUUUCAUCUAAAGCUAAAUAUUGGCCAGAGACCGAUAGCGCACAAGUAGAGUGAUCGAAAGAUGAAAAGCACUUUGGAAAGAGAGUUAAACAGUACGUGAAAUUGUUGAAAGGGAAGCGCUUGCAACCAGACUUGCGCGCGGCCGAUCAUCCGGUGUUCUCACCGGUGCACUCGGCCCGUGCUCAGGCCAGCAUCGGUUUUGGCGGCUGGAUAAAGGCCCUAGGAAUGUAGCUCCUCUCGGGGAGUGUUAUAGCCUAGGGUGCAAUGCAGCCUGCUGGGACCGAGGACCGCGCUUCGGCUAGGAUGCUGGCGUAAUGGUUGUAAGCGGCCCGUCUUGAAACACGGACCAAGGAGUCUAACAUCUAUGCGAGUGUUUGGGUGUCAAACCCAUACGCGUAAUGAAAGUGAACGGAGGUGAGAACCCUUAAGGGUGCAUCAUCGACCGGUCCUGAAGUUUACGGAAGGAUCUGAGUAAGAGCAUAGCUGUUGGGACCCGAAAGAUGGUGAACUAUGCCUGAAUAGGGUGAAGCCAGAGGAAACUCUGGUGGAGGCUCGCAGCGGUUCUGACGUGCAAAUCGAUCGUCAAAUUUGGGUAUAGGGGCGAAAGACUAAUCGAACCAUUGACCUGUAGGAACACUACUAGGUGGUUAAGAGGCGGCUAAAAGUGCCGUCUAGUCCCGACGCCGGGGCGACACUGUCAAAUUGCGGGAACAUCCUUAGAGCCUAGACUACCGCAGCCUUCCUGAAAGGGGGGUGCGCACCAGGGUAAUGACCUCGGGUAUGGUAAUAACGUCUAGGAUUGGACAAUCCGCAGCCAAGCCCUACGGACCUCGGUCUAUGGGUGCAGUUCAUCGACUAGAUGGCAGUGGGUGGCAGCAAUGCCGCUUAAGAUAUAGUCAGACCCCCGGGAGACCGGGCGGCAGAACGAAGACCGUGGGGGGCGUCCUCUCUGAGAGCCCCGCGGUCCCGAGUCUGCUGGUGGCGUCGC
RNAcentral lists this ribosomal RNA (1213 nucleotides) under Pseudogymnoascus sp. RNAcentral describes it as "partial large subunit ribosomal RNA". The stretch from base 1 to 922 matches the Rfam family "Eukaryotic large subunit ribosomal RNA", at positions 77 to 1888 of the family's 3401-position model. Lineage: Eukaryota; Fungi; Ascomycota; Leotiomycetes; Thelebolales; Thelebolaceae. The record is from RNAcentral.